UACGUAGGCAGCAAGCGUUGUUCGGAAUUACUGGGCGUAAAGCGCACGUAGGCGGCUUUCUAAGUCGGGGGUGAAAUCCUGGAGCUCAACUCCAGAACUGCCUUCGAUACUGGAGAGCUCGAGUCCGGGAGAGGUGAGUGGAACUGCGAGUGUAGAGGUGAAAUUCGUAGAUAUUCGCAAGAACACCAGUGGCGAAGGCGGCUCACUGGCCCGGUACUGACGCUGAGGUGCGAAAGCGUGGGGAGCAAACAGG
Molecule: ribosomal RNA, 253 nt
Filed under: uncultured bacterium
Lineage: Bacteria
Description: partial 16S ribosomal RNA
Rfam family: Bacterial small subunit ribosomal RNA
Source: RNAcentral